This 77-nucleotide transfer RNA is filed under the name Granulosicoccus sp. RNAcentral's name for it is "tRNA-Arg". It matches the Rfam family "tRNA". From Rfam's summary of the family: Transfer RNA (tRNA) molecules are approximately 80 nucleotides in length. The record is from RNAcentral. Lineage: Bacteria; Pseudomonadati; Pseudomonadota; Gammaproteobacteria; Chromatiales; Granulosicoccaceae. RNAcentral also lists the same sequence under 2 other names.
GUCCCGGUAGCUCAGCUGGAUAGAGCAGCCCCCUCCUAAGGGGCAGGUCGGGGGUUCGAAUCCCUCCCGGGACGCCA